GGGUUGUGAGGUUAAGCGACUAAGCGUACACGGUGGAUGCCCUGGCAGUCAGAGGCGAUGAAGGACGUGCUAAUCUGCGAAAAGCGUCGGUAAGGUGAUAUGAACCGUUAUAGCCGGCGAUGUCCGAAUGGGGAAACCCAGUGCAAUUCGUUGCACUAUCGUUAACUGAAUACAUAGGUUAACGAGGCGAACCGGGGGAACUGAAACAUCUAAGUACCCCGAGGAAAAGAAAUCAACCGAGAUUCCCCCAGUAGCGGCGAGCGAACGGGGAGCAGCCCAGAGUCUGAAUCAGCUUGUGUGUUAGUGGAACGGUCUGGAAAGUCCGACGGUACAGGGUGAUAGUCCCGUACACCAAAAUGCACAGGCUGUGAACUCGAAGAGUAGGGCGGGACACGUGGUAUCCUGUCUGAAUAUGGGGGGACCAUCCUCCAAGGCUAAAUACUCCUGACUGACCGAUAGUGAACCAGUACCGUGAGGGAAAGGCGAAAAGAACCCCGGCGAGGGGAGUGAAAAAGAACCUGAAACCGUGUACGUACAAGCAGUGGGAGCACCUUCGGGUGUGACUGCGUACCUUUUGUAUAAUGGGUCAGCGACUUAUAUUCUGUAGCAAGGUUAACCGUAUAGGGGAGCCGCAGGGAAACCGAGUCUUAACUGGGCGUUAAGUUGCAGGGUAUAGACCCGAAACCCGGUGAUCUAGCCAUGGGCAGGUUGAAGGUUGGGUAACACUAACUGGAGGACCGAACCGACUAAUGUUGAAAAAUUAGCGGAUGACUUGUGGCUGGGGGUGAAAGGCCAAUCAAACCGGGAGAUAGCUGGUUCUCCCCGAAAGCUAUUUAGGUAGCGCCUCGUGAACUCAUCUUCGGGGGUAGAGCACUGUUUCGGCUAGGGGGUCAUCCCGACUUACCAACCCGAUGCAAACUACGAAUACCGAAGAAUGUUAUCACGGGAGACACACGGCGGGUGCUAACGUCCGUCGUGAAGAGGGAAACAACCCAGACCGCCAGCUAAGGUCCCAAAGUCAUGGUUAAGUGGGAAACGAUGUGGGAAGGCACAGACAGCCAGGAUGUUGGCUUAGAAGCAGCCAUCAUUUAAAGAAAGCGUAAUAGCUCACUGGUCGAGUCGGCCUGCGCGGAAGAUGUAACGGGGCUAAACCAUGCACCGAAGCUGCGGCAGCGACACUAUGUGUUGUUGGGUAGGGGAGCGUUCUGUAAGCCUGCGAAGGUGUGCUGUGAGGCAUGCUGGAGGUAUCAGAAGUGCGAAUGCUGACAUAAGUAACGAUAAAGCGGGUGAAAAGCCCGCUCGCCGGAAGACCAAGGGUUCCUGUCCAACGUUAAUCGGGGCAGGGUGAGUCGACCCCUAAGGCGAGGCCGAAAGGCGUAGUCGAUGGGAAACAGGUUAAUAUUCCUGUACUUGGUGUUACUGCGAAGGGGGGACGGAGAAGGCUAUGUUAGCCGGGCGACGGUUGUCCCGGUUUAAGCAUGUAGGCUGGUUGUCCAGGCAAAUCCGGAUAAUCAAGGCUGAGGUGUGAUGACGAGGCACUACGGUGCUGAAGUAACAAAUGCCCUGCUUCCAGGAAAAGCCUCUAAGCAUCAGGUAACAUCAAAUCGUACCCCAAACCGACACAGGUGGUCAGGUAGAGAAUACCAAGGCGCUUGAGAGAACUCGGGUGAAGGAACUAGGCAAAAUGGUGCCGUAACUUCGGGAGAAGGCACGCUGGUGUGUAGGUGAAGUCCCUGCGGAUGGAGCUGAGACCAGUCGAAGAUACCAGCUGGCUGCAACUGUUUAUUAAAAACACAGCACUGUGCAAACACGAAAGUGGACGUAUACGGUGUGACGCCUGCCCGGUGCCGGAAGGUUAAUUGAUGGGGUUAUCCGUAAGGAGAAGCUCUUGAUCGAAGCCCCGGUAAACGGCGGCCGUAACUAUAACGGUCCUAAGGUAGCGAAAUUCCUUGUCGGGUAAGUUCCGACCUGCACGAAUGGCGUAAUGAUGGCCAGGCUGUCUCCACCCGAGACUCAGUGAAAUUGAACUCGCUGUGAAGAUGCAGUGUACCCGCGGCAAGACGGAAAGACCCCGUGAACCUUUACUAUAGCUUGACACUGAACAUUGAGCCUUGAUGUGUAGGAUAGGUGGGAGGCUUUGAAGCGUGGACGCCAGUCUGCGUGGAGCCAACCUUGAAAUACCACCCUUUAAUGUUUGAUGUUCUAACGUUGGCCCCUUACCGGGGUUGCGGACAGUGUCUGGUGGGUAGUUUGACUGGGGCGGUCUCCUCCCAAAGCGUAACGGAGGAGCACGAAGGUUAGCUAAUCCUGGUCGGACAUCAGGAGGUUAGUGCAAUGGCAUAAGCUAGCUUGACUGCGAGCGUGACGGCGCGAGCAGGUGCGAAAGCAGGUCAUAGUGAUCCGGUGGUUCUGAAUGGAAGGGCCAUCGCUCAACGGAUAAAAGGUACUCCGGGGAUAACAGGCUGAUACCGCCCAAGAGUUCAUAUCGACGGCGGUGUUUGGCACCUCGAUGUCGGCUCAUCACAUCCUGGGGCUGAAGUAGGUCCCAAGGGUAUGGCUGUUCGCCAUUUAAAGUGGUACGCGAGCUGGGUUUAGAACGUCGUGAGACAGUUCGGUCCCUAUCUGCCGUGGGCGCUGGAGAAUUGAGGGGGGCUGCUCCUAGUACGAGAGGACCGGAGUGGACGCAUCACUGGUGUUCGGGUUGUCAUGCCAAUGGCACUGCCCGGUAGCUAAAUGCGGAAGAGAUAAGUGCUGAAAGCAUCUAAGCACGAAACUUGCCCCGAGAUGAGUUCUCCCUGAGACUUUAAGUCUCCUGAAGGAACGUUAAAGACGAUGACGUUGAUAGGCCGGGUGUGUAAGCGCAGCGAUGCGUUGAGCUAACCGGUACUAAUGAACCGUGAGGCUUAACCUUACAACGCCGAAG
RNAcentral lists this ribosomal RNA (2923 nucleotides) under Klebsiella pneumoniae. RNAcentral's name for it is "bacterial LSU rRNA". It matches the Rfam family "Bacterial large subunit ribosomal RNA". The record is from RNAcentral. Lineage: Bacteria; Pseudomonadati; Pseudomonadota; Gammaproteobacteria; Enterobacterales; Enterobacteriaceae.